This 27-nucleotide small RNA is filed under the name Bombyx mori (domestic silkworm). Its description in RNAcentral is "ovarian small RNA-23539". The record is from RNAcentral. Lineage: Eukaryota; Metazoa; Arthropoda; Insecta; Lepidoptera; Bombycidae.
UAUCAUCAUAUUAUCCUACUGUCCUAU